This 249-nucleotide ribosomal RNA is filed under the name uncultured bacterium. Its description in RNAcentral is "partial 16S ribosomal RNA". It matches the Rfam family "Bacterial small subunit ribosomal RNA", at positions 108 to 353 of the family's 1533-position model. The record is from RNAcentral.
GAGUAACGCGUGGGUAACCUGCCUUAUACGGGGGAUAACAGUCAGAAAGUGGCUGCUAAUACCGCAUAAGCGCACAGAGCUGCAGUGGCUCAGUGUGAAAAACUCCGGUGGUAUAAGAUGGACCCGCGUCUGAUUAGCUGGGUUGGUGAGGUAACGGCCCACCAAGGCGACGAUCAGUAGCCGACCUGAGAGGGUGACCGGCCACAUUGGGACUGAGACACGGCCCAAACUCCUACGGGAGGCAGCAUG